Non-coding RNA from Paramuricea clavata, 138 nucleotides. Lineage: Eukaryota; Metazoa; Cnidaria; Anthozoa; Malacalcyonacea; Plexauridae. The record is from the annotation of a GenBank genome assembly.
UAUAAAACAAAUAAUGAAUGUUUUUAUUCGUGCAAUGGUAAGAAUAUUUUCAUUCGGUGAAAGAUGGAACAUUCCAUCUUUCAUCUCAUGAAAAUAUUCUUACCAUUGCACUCAUAAACAUUCAUUAUUUGUAUACUA